GAAAUCAUACCUAUUCGAAGGGAUAGGGUCGGUUCGGCCGGAUUUUACACAAGUGUUGCAUGGCUGUCGUCAGCCGUGUCGUGAGAUGUUGGGUUAAGUCCCGCAACGAGCGCAACCCUCAUCCUUAGUUGCUAUCAGGUAAUGCUGAGACUUUAAGGAAACUGCCAGUGAUAAGCUGGAGGAAGGUGGGGAUGAUGUCAAGUCAUCAUGGCCUUUAUGGAGUGGGCUACACACGUGCUACAAUGGUGUCUACAAUGGGCUGCAAGGUGCGCAAGCCUAAGCUAAUCCCUAAAAGACAUUCAGUUCGGAUUGUACUCUGCAACUCGAGUACAUGAAGUUGGAAUCGCUAGUAAUCGUGGAUCAGCAUGCCACGGGAAUACGUUCUCGGGUCUUGUACACACUGCCCGUC
This 409-nucleotide ribosomal RNA is filed under the name Wolbachia sp. RNAcentral's name for it is "bacterial SSU rRNA". It matches the Rfam family "Bacterial small subunit ribosomal RNA", at positions 989 to 1398 of the family's 1533-position model. Lineage: Bacteria; Pseudomonadati; Pseudomonadota; Alphaproteobacteria; Rickettsiales; Anaplasmataceae. The record is from RNAcentral.